RNAcentral lists this ribosomal RNA (435 nucleotides) under uncultured bacterium. Its description in RNAcentral is "partial 16S ribosomal RNA". It matches the Rfam family "Bacterial small subunit ribosomal RNA", at positions 29 to 507 of the family's 1533-position model. The record is from RNAcentral.
AGCGAAUGCUGGCGGCAGGCUUAACACAUGCAAGUCGAGCGGGCACUUUCGGGUGUCAGCGGCGGACGGGUGAGUAACGCGUGGGAACGUGCCCUCUGGUUCGGAAUAACUCAGGGAAACUUGAGCUAAUACCGGAUACGCCCUUUUGGGGAAAGGCUUGCUGCCGGAGGAUCGGCCCGCGUCUGAUUAGCUAGUUGGUGAGGUAACGGCUCACCAAGGCGACGAUCAGUAGCUGGUCUGAGAGGAUGAUCAGCCACACUGGGACUGAGACACGGCCCAGACUCCUACGGGAGGCAGCAGUGGGGAAUAUUGGACAAUGGGCGCAAGCCUGAUCCAGCCAUGCCGCGGGAGUGAUGAAGGCCUUAGGGUUGUAAAGCUCUUUUAUCCGGGACGAUAAUGACGGUACCGGAGGAAUAAGCCCCGGCUAACUUCGUG